UACGGAGGGUGCAAGCGUUAUCCGGAUUCACUGGGUUUAAAGGGUGCGUAGGUGGGCAUGUAAGUCAGUGGUGAAAUCUCCGGGCUUAACCCGGAAACUGCCAUUGAUACUAUAUGUCUUGAAUACCAUGGAGGUGAGCGGAAUAUGUCAUGUAGCGGUGAAAUGCUUAGAUAUGACAUAGAACACCAAUUGCGAAGGCAGCUCACUACGCGGUAAUUGACAACUGAGGCACGAAAGCGUGGGGAUCAAACAGGAGUUAGAAACC
This 265-nucleotide ribosomal RNA is filed under the name uncultured bacterium. RNAcentral's name for it is "partial 16S ribosomal RNA". It matches the Rfam family "Bacterial small subunit ribosomal RNA", at positions 524 to 786 of the family's 1533-position model. The record is from RNAcentral.